Molecule: long non-coding RNA, 292 nt
Filed under: Calidris pygmaea (Spoon-billed sandpiper)
Lineage: Eukaryota; Metazoa; Chordata; Aves; Charadriiformes; Scolopacidae
Description: lncRNA (ENSCPGG00000003828.1)
Source: RNAcentral
GUUUGAUAUGUAAGAUAUGAUUUAACAGAGCAGUGAAACAGGAGUUCAGCUCUCUUUUGAAGUUUGGACUUUAUCAGCAAUAGAGAUUUCCAAACCACUGUGUGGACUUUGUCAAUAACUCUGGCGUUAGGAUUGGAACAACCACGUCUGGUUUGCUGGAAUCUAAGUAUGUUUAGAAUAAAAAGAGCCUGGAAAGAGAAUUAUUGAUUUGCAUUAUGGAAACCACUUCAACCAGACACUAGAAAUCUUUCAAGGCUUGUGUGCUGGCUCAUAUUUUCCUUUCCCAAGGUGG